CUCUCUUCUUCUUCUCCCUAUUUUCUGCCUCCUUCUCCUUUUACAAGAUUUUGUCGGAGUUAUGGACAGUGGCUAUAACUCGCGGCCCGUUAAAAAAACCUUACUGAUUUCGCACAAAUCCCUGCCAUACUUUUCUUCACGGCCAAACCAUGGUUCUUCCUCAUCUUCUUCUCUCCGGUGAAAAUAAACUCAGAAUAAUCGAUCAUGAUUUUUGUGAACGGUUCAGGGAAGAAUUAGUAAUUUGGUAAACUGAGAAAGAAGGUAAACUGCGUUGAAGUCAAUUGAACUAUGGAAAGAGGAAGAAAAGGGUGAAAGAGAGCCAAUAGACAGAGAAUAGAGUUAUGGGUUUCUUUUGGAUUCAAACUCUUUGCAGGGAACUCGAAUUUGGGGGAAGAAAUGGAGCCAGGAAGAGACAACAAACGCCAACAGUUGAACUGCAUACAAUGUGUUCGACAAAAAGCCUAAGACACUACCGGCUGAUCUCUACCAUCUUUGCCAUGAACGUGUGCAAGCUGUGUUCAAAGAACUAAGAUGGAAUCUGUGUCAGGACAAAAGAAAUAAUGGGCUUUACUUGAAGGGUGUGGGACAUGGUGUAGAUACAGUUUGAGGAGAAAUGUUGCUGCCAUGGUUUUGUUUGUGAAUGAUAUGCAUUCUGGUGGUUAUGCUUGAAGUGUUAAGACCAAGGAGAUGAGCUGAUGGAUGCAGUUCAGGUGGAGUUUUUGUCAGCGAGAAAGAAGGGAACAGGCGCAAGAUCGGUAAUGUAAGUGAUCGCAAAUCAAGUGGAUACCAUGAAAGACAGGCCAUCAAUGAAAGGCGUCGGCGCAAUCCAAAAGCAACAGUAAUUGAUGCACUAAACCGCCAACCAAAUGACCAUGAAGCAAGUGGUAAGCCUGGGCAUGAAUUAUCUUUACAGUAAGACCUUAUAUAUAGAAAAUGUCACGAGUAGUUACUUAACUCAUACAACAUUGUAAAUUAAUCUGUUUCUGAAAGAUGUAGACUUAGCCAGUUAGAAGAAACUGAGUUGAUGAUUUAGUUUGAUUUUUGCUGGAUGAACAAACGGAGUUGCAUAAGGGCUUUGGGUUGUACGUAGCCUCAAGGAAUCAAAUAUUGAUUUGAUAUUAUGAAAAACAAUUUAUCAUGGUA
Papaver somniferum (opium poppy) is the source of this 1143-nucleotide long non-coding RNA. RefSeq lists it as uncharacterized. The record is from RefSeq and is a predicted model, not a curated record. Lineage: Eukaryota; Viridiplantae; Streptophyta; Magnoliopsida; Ranunculales; Papaveraceae. The transcript has 2 exons.